Molecule: non-coding RNA, 2538 nt
Organism: Camelina sativa (false flax)
Lineage: Eukaryota; Viridiplantae; Streptophyta; Magnoliopsida; Brassicales; Brassicaceae
Source: RefSeq, a predicted model, not a curated record
CUGUUUCUUUCUUACUUGGACUCUCCACUCUUUCUUCGUAUCUGUUUCUUCGGCGAGUCUCGCUCUCUCUCUCUCUCUCUCUGAAUUUGCGAUGAUUAUCUAGGGUUUCGUUCCUACGCGGUUUGUUUUGAAAGCAAGUUUAUAAUCUGAUCAUCGCUCCCCCCGGUAUCUCUCUCGCUCGAUCCAAUUGCAUCGAAGCUUUUAGGGUUUGGUUGUAAUAGAAGCGAGUUUAUAAUCUGCAUUCCUCCCUACUUGUGGAAUUCUCUCCUUCUUCUUCUAGGGUGGAAUUGGAUCAUUGUCUCUUGUUGCUAAAGAUGGAAUUAUAUUGUCUAUUAUGGUAACGUCAUAUAAUUUGAUAAAGAUGCAGCAGAGGACCGAUAGAGAGAGAGAGAGAGAUUCAUGUUUUGGACGAUGCUUUUAUAUCAUCCUCACUCCUCAGCUUGCUUAUGGAGCGACGUGGUUCUGGAGAAAGGUACAUUUGAUCAUUAACAUGAUGACAAAUCUGAUUUUGGAAACGAACGAUUUGUUUUAAGCUUGCUUAUGGAGCGACGUGGUUCUGGGGAAAGGUACAUUUGAUCAUUACAACAUGAUGACAAAGUCUCAAGUCUGAUUUUGGAAACCAAUUAUUUGUUAAAGUUUGCAGCUUGCUUAUGGACCGACGUGGUUAUGUGGAAGAGUACAUUAAAUCAUUACAACUGUUGAUGCAAAUGAUGCUGGUGUGUUUUUGGUAGCAAAUUUAUGAUUCCAAUCAUUAUCGCUCGCCCACGCUUCUGAAUUUUCACUCCUAAGUCCUACGCUUUUGGACGAUGCUUUUAUAUCAUCCUCACUCCUCAGGCGUUCUCAUGGGUUAAAAUAUGGCUUGGAGACAACGCAGCAUCUCUUUUAUCUGUUUCUCGGAUCCUAGUUUUAAGAAUGCUAACUGUUACUAAGGGUCUCAGUCUGAUUUUGGAAACCAAUUAUUUGUUUUAAGCUUGCUUAUGGAGCGACGUGCUUCUGGAGAAAGGUACAUUUGAUAUAUUACAACAUGAUGACAAAGUCUCCAUCUCAUUUUGGAACCAAAUUAUUUGUUUUAAGGUGCAGAGCAUACUUCAGAUCUUUGAUUUGAAACUUUAUCUUAAGGUUAAAAUAUGGCUUGGAGACGAGGCCGGAGAUCACUACUACUAUGUUCUCUCUCGGUUCCAAGUUUGCAGAAUGCUAACUGUUACUAAGAUCCUAAAUCAUAAGAGGCUAUAAAGAUUUCUCUUAACCUCCACAAGCUUCUUAUCGACAACAGUCUUCCCGAUGUGUCUCAAGUCUGAUUUUGGAAACCAAUUAUUUGUUAAAGUUUGCAGCUUGCUUGCUUAUGGACCGACGUGGUUAUGGGGGAGAGUACAUUAAAUCAUUACAACUGUUGAUGCUGGUAAAGUAAAAUGUCUUGGUGGACCAGAACGUAAUGGAAGUGUUACAGUUGUUGACGUUCACCUGCAGGAGGAGACUUUUCAGAUCCUGUUACUUCUGCACCCUUAUUAUUUUGCAGGUCUUCUGGGUUUUGGACAAAAAGCGAGAAAACAUUUUCCCUCUGUGAAUUGGUUGAUUUCCUACUAAAAAGUAUUCAACGGCAUUGGGAUCUUUCUAUGAGAAGUUAGGUCCAGAUAUCAUCAACAUCAGGAAAAAAGGCCAGAGAGGUGUUGCAGAGGGAAGACGAUCUUAAUGAAAUUGGCCAGGAAAAGAUGCGCAAGCAGAAGGUGACAAAAUCAUCUUGGAAACAGAUUGUGGAGGAUGCUUUGCUCGGUCAGUGAUGGUUCUGAUGGAUCGUUGUCUUCUUCUCUGCGCUAUAUUUAGACCGUCCAGGCACUGGGAUUAAUGUGUGGGAGGGUUCGAAAUGAGAAACAUCAGGUUAACAGUAAUGUCCCUGAUCUUCCUAGUGAGCUAGCAUCUACGUUUCAAGCCUAAUAUCUUGUUGUUUCUUUUAGUCGAGGUUCUAAAAGAGAGAAGUGUAAGAUUCUCUUGCUUGGACAAUUAUUUUUCCGCCCAAGAGGAGGGUAACCAAGCCAUGGCUGCCUGUCUCGUUUCUGCUAGGCUAUUGCCAGGGUCUUCUUUUGGAAUUACUCCUCAACAGCUUCUCAAAGGAUCUCAACAAGCAGCAAUAUGGAUGGGGAGGUGGUGCAAAAACCAACAGCUUGUCAUAAUGUGAAUGGAUCACAACAAUUGUUCUCAGCAGCAAUAUGGAGUGGCCUCAAGGAUUGUCAAAUACGCUCUAGACUAGCUUGUCAUAAUGUCACAACUCACAACAAUGGCUCCCUGCAGCAAUAUGGAGGGAUUGUGGAGGAUAAUGCUAUGAUGAUUGAUUGGUGAUUGAGGAGGAUGCUUCUAAUAUAUGUCGGAGGUGGUGCAAAAACCAACAGCUUGUCAUGAUGUGAAUGGAUCACAACCAUUGUUCCCUGCAGCAAUAUGGAGGGCCUCAAGGAUUUUCAAAUACGCUCUAGACUAGCUUGUCAUAAUGUCCCAACAAUGGGUUCCCUGCUGCAAGAUGGAGGGGAAUACUAGGAAAGGCAUCAG